AUGGUGUAUCUUGGUCAUGUUUUUGUUGCAUCUUGGUCAUGUUUUUGUUGCAUCUUGGUCAUGGUGUACCUUGGUCAUGGUGUACCUUGGUCAUGGUGUACCUUGGUAAUGUUUAUGGUGUAUCUUGGUCAUGUUUUGUUGCAUCUUGGUCAUGGUGUACCUUGGUCAUGGUGUAUCUUGGUAAUGUUUAUGGUGCAUCUUGGUCAUGUUUUUUGUUCAUGUUUUUGUUGCGUAUUUGUCACGUUCAACACAUUUUUCUUACGUUUGUCAUAUUUUUGCGGUUCAUCACAGUUAAAUUACACUAAAAAACUAAAUGCGGCCAAAAACACUACAAAAAAAAAGCAAUGAAAAUGUGACAAAAAUACUUACAAUGAGCAACAAAAAGAUGAGUUUUGUCGGCCUUAGCUUUCAAAUGAGCUUUUACACUGGCCUAUAGGCUGUGAGCUCUCAGGUCAGGACGCUUUAAGACUCGAGUAAUGCUGAACUGGAGAAAAAGUGCUCGGUUACGGGUCUGUGCCACAUGUUGGUGUUUUGGUGUCCAGCAAACUUUAAACAAUAUUUAUUUAUCUUGCAGAUUCCACGGGGGAAAAGAACAAGAAUUUUACUUGAACUGAAGUGAACCACUGCGCAGACGGGUAAACACGCCGCUAUCCUACCACCCAGAGUUAAUGUGAUCGACAAACGUUUACAUAGAUCGAAUCUCCUUCAUUUUCAAGAAUAUAUGUAGAAAUAUUUACACGUGUGUUGCCUCUGAGACGGAUUGCCGUACCAUUCCAGUCAAACAGUCCUGGGUGAACAAAGGUCCUUCCGAUGGCACAUGAUCGGUUUGAGUGUCUGCACGUUUGCCGACGUGUCAGUGCGUGGGCCCCUCUGCGCCGAGCAGGAGGUUUCUACAGUCCGAGGGUUGCAUUUAUGGAUAAGUAUCUCUCGUGUGUUGAGAAGCUCAGAUCAAGUGAGUGCUCGAUCGGCUGAACGUGUGGUACUUCCGCUCGAACAUUGACGGUAGAUGGACCAUAGACGGAGAGUGGUGGCGAGCCUGAGGAGGAAAACAGACACAGGAAAGACAAUUACUUUUUUGUUUGGUAAAGAUUUCAAGAGAAAAAUCGGGAUUAGAAGAGACUCCCACACCAAACUCCACUGUGAAAAAUGACAUUUCAGAUAGGACUUCUCUUAAUUAUUAGUAGCAAUUCCUUUUCUUUUCAAGGCAAAGCAAAUAAUUUGUGAGGACAUAAAGCAUUGAAAUAUGUUCAUGUAAGAUUGCGAAAGUCUGAAAAAAGAAGUCAUCUGGACAGGUUUGUUUGAGUACUUCACGUUUGUUGAUAAUUUUUCAUUGAUGUCCCUUUUAUCGUGACUGUUUAAAAUGACGGUGACAAGCUAAAUAUUGCUCUUUGGUGAUGAGGCGUUUGAGAGUUUUCACUGGGUAGAUGAAAAUGUUCGAAAGCGGUCUGUGGGACGUUCACAAUCAAGGCUUGAGCGCUUGAACUGCAGGACAGAGCCGUGACAGAGCUGCCGUCUGGAAAUCACGUCUACUCACACGCUGCACCCACUCGCUCUUUCUCCCCCCGCGUUAGAGUCUGAGCUGCUGACAGUGCCAGUGAUGUCACAGGGACUUUAUCUUUUCUCAGGACAAAGUGUAUUUUCUCCCUAAUUAAACACAGUAGUGGUAUGAACGGAGAAAGCAUGUGAUGAUCGAAUGUGCAGACGGCACAGUUAACAACCUCGAAUCGAUGAACAACAGAUAAGGAAACGCUCCGUUCAUAAUCAUGGCAUUUCUGUCUACUGUGAGUGUAACCUGUGUCAGGUUACACUCAGUGUCAGCUUGAUACAACCAAUGGCCGCUGGCUGCUCUGCUUUGCGACGACGAC
Molecule: long non-coding RNA, 1865 nt
Organism: Neogobius melanostomus (round goby)
Lineage: Eukaryota; Metazoa; Chordata; Actinopteri; Gobiiformes; Gobiidae
Source: Ensembl